GACGAACGCUGGCGGCGUGCUUAACACAUGCAAGUCGAACGGAAAGGCCCUGCUUUUGUGGGGUGCUCGAGUGGCGAACGGGUGAGUAACACGUGAGUAACCUGCCCUUGACUUUGGGAUAACUUCAGGAAACUGGGGCUAAUACCGGAUAUGAGCUCCUGCUGCAUGGUGGGGGUUGGAAAGUUUCGGCGGUUGGGGAUGGACUCGCGGCUUAUCAGCUUGUUGGGGGGGUAGUGGCUUACCAAGGCUUUGACGGGUAGCCGGCCUGAGAGGGUGACCGGCCACAUUGGGACUGAGAUACGGCCCAGACUCCUACGGGAGGCAGCAGUGGGGAAUAUUGCACAAUGGGCGGAAGCCUGAUGCAGCAACGCCGCGUGCGGGAUGACGGCCUUCGGGUUGUAAACCGCUUUCGCCUGUGACGAAGCGUGAGUGACGGUAAUGGGUAAAGAAGCACCGGCUAACUACGUG
RNAcentral lists this ribosomal RNA (468 nucleotides) under uncultured bacterium. Its description in RNAcentral is "partial 16S ribosomal RNA". It matches the Rfam family "Bacterial small subunit ribosomal RNA", at positions 28 to 507 of the family's 1533-position model. The record is from RNAcentral.